Musa acuminata AAA Group (dessert banana) is the source of this 904-nucleotide long non-coding RNA. RefSeq lists it as uncharacterized. The record is from RefSeq and is a predicted model, not a curated record. NCBI's taxonomy places the organism in Eukaryota, Viridiplantae, Streptophyta, Magnoliopsida, Zingiberales, Musaceae. The transcript is spliced from 5 exons.
ACUCGUUUCUUUGUCGCGUUCUUCCUCUCCGCUGCCGACCGGUCCGGCGAUAUACCAUCCCCCCGUUGCUGGAAGUCAAGAGACUGCUUUACGUUGUCGGUUGAUCGAGCCGUCGAUUCCAUCCCCGAAACCUGUUCUAUUCUUUGCUUGCUCAGCCGCUUCACGGUUAGACCUGUUCCACAUACGAAUGAGAGACUGAAGCCGCCAGCACAGGUAAACGGAACGAUGUUAUAGAAAAGGGUUGACGCUGUUGUAGAUUCCCAGCAGCGGAAAUUGUUCGAUGGAAGCAAAACUUUUGUUAAUGGAGUAGGAAGUUGGCCUCUCCUUGGUUCUCUUUCGGUGAUAAGAAAAGGACAAGAAUGGUGCUGUAGACAUCCAGAAAAGUAACUUGGAACAAGACACCACUAAAAUGUCUGAUCAUCCCCUGACUGAUGUGGAGAAGAGGAGGAUCAAGUGGAGUGGAUGCCUGUGGGACCUUCUGCAGCCAGAAAUAAUUAAACCCACAGAAGAACCUCACAUGCCUGAACAUGGAAGCUUAUCCCCACCUACAAUUAAGACCACCGGCCUCCAUUGGCUUGUCUCCUCCAUGGAAAGGGACACCAUAGGUGCCAUGUCCACUGCACCAGAAUGAGCAUCAUUUCUUCAACAUGCAUCAACAGUAAAAUUAUUCUACACAGGUCACAACAAUUCCUGAAAAGGAAAAAAAAAGGUUCCUGAUUCCCUCAAAAACAUCUCUGCAUUUCAGGCACUUGCAACCUUUAUUAUUUGUUCUAAGACUAUCAAAAUGAAAUCGAGGGCUAGUUUUACAAUAAAUUGUUUCUGUUUUAUUUAGUGUAUUAUGUAUGACUCUGUACAUGUUCCAAAGCAAAUAUACAAGCAUAUUUAUCUGCUCAAGAUUAUUUCU